This 72-nucleotide transfer RNA is filed under the name Crassvirales sp. RNAcentral's name for it is "tRNA-Gly". It matches the Rfam family "tRNA". Rfam says of the family: Transfer RNA (tRNA) molecules are approximately 80 nucleotides in length. Their secondary structure includes four short double-helical elements and three loops (D, anti-codon, and T loops). Further hydrogen bonds mediate the characteristic L-shaped molecular structure. tRNAs have two regions of fundamental functional importance: the anti-codon, which is responsible for specific mRNA codon recognition, and the 3' end, to which the tRNAs corresponding amino acid is attached (by aminoacyl-tRNA synthetases). tRNAs cope with the degeneracy of the genetic code in two manners: having more than one tRNA (with a specific anti-codon) for a particular amino acid; and 'wobble' base-pairing, i.e. permitting non-standard base-pairing at the 3rd anti-codon position. Lineage: Duplodnaviria; Heunggongvirae; Uroviricota; Caudoviricetes; Crassvirales. The record is from RNAcentral.
GCAGGUGUCCUAUAAAGGUCAGUAUAGGAGAUUUCCAAUCUUCUGGUUAGAGUUCGAGUCUCUAUAUCUGCA